GACGAACGCUGGCGGCGUGCUUAACACAUGCAAGUCGAACGGAAAGGCCUGCUUUCCCUUGUGGAUUGCGGGUACUCGAGUGGCGAACGGGUGAGUAACACGUGAGUGAUCUGCCCCCAACUUGGGUAUAAGCCUGGGAAACUGGGUCUAAUUCCCGAUAGGACUGCAGGGUGGUGCCUGUGGUGGAAAACGAUUUUCUAGUGGUUGGGGAUGAGCUCGCGGCCUAUCAGCUUGUUGGUGGGGUAAUGGCCUACCAAGGCGGCGACGGGUAGCCGGCCUGAGAGGGUGGACGGCCACAUUGGGACUGAGAUACCGGCCAGACUCCUACGGGAGGCAGCAGUGGGGAAUAUUGCACAAUGGGCGGAAGCCUGAUGCAGCGACGCCGCGUGGGGGAUGACGGCCUUCGGGUUGUAAACUCCUUUCGACCGCGAGGAAGCCACCUGGUUGGAAGGGUGGUGACGGUAGUGGUAGAAGAAGCACCGGCUAACUACGU
Molecule: ribosomal RNA, 493 nt
Filed under: uncultured bacterium
Lineage: Bacteria
Description: partial 16S ribosomal RNA
Rfam family: Bacterial small subunit ribosomal RNA
Source: RNAcentral